Molecule: long non-coding RNA, 761 nt
Organism: Passer domesticus (house sparrow)
Lineage: Eukaryota; Metazoa; Chordata; Aves; Passeriformes; Passeridae
Exons: 3
Source: RefSeq, a predicted model, not a curated record
CCAGGCAGCAGCCUGGUGGAUUUUCCUCCUCUUGUUUAGAAAGUGGAGGGGUAUACCAGGAAAAGAUCUCUCUGUGGCUAUUCUGACCUUGUACUCCUUCCUCAAGCACCUGCUGUUGGUCAUUGUCAGAGAUGGGAUCAAUCUGACCUAACAUGACAAACUCUGCAUACCUCAGCAGUCAGCUAACGAGCCUUUCAGAGGAAGAAUCUGAUGGAAACACAAACCCACCUGAGCUGGUUGUGGGCACACUGGCAGUGCUGUGGGGAGCAAAAAUCUCCAUUUUUGUCCCCAAAAUCCUUGACCAGGAGGUAACAGUGUGGUGACAAUGGUUUCAGUGGAGCUGGGUUGACUUUACCCUGCAGGAUUCCAGAUGUGUGCAGACGCUCAUGCCAGCAAUAUACAAUAAUUUGUAAUUCCAGAAAAUUCCAUGUGGUGAUGGCUGUAUUUGCAUGUCUUCCCUAUACAUUGGGUGUGGAACUCUGGAUGUAAAGGACUGAAGGCUUAACUGCUUUGCUUUCACAAAAAAGUCAUGUAAUGGACAUUUUUUAGGUCCUUCUUCAGUUGUUGAUGAAUUUAUAGCAUGAGAUAUUAACUAGUGGACUGCCAUUUUCAUUCGUGACUUUUUAAUAAAAAAUGGAAAUUCUAAAAGAUUAAAUUGUUUGCAUGAAGUGACCACUGGAGUCUGAACUUGUCAAUCUUUGUUUGCUAUAUUACAAAUUUUCUCUAUUUUUCAUUAAAAGUUACCCUUUUCUGAAAGAAAA